This 216-nucleotide long non-coding RNA is filed under the name Homo sapiens (human). RNAcentral describes it as "long non-coding RNA NONHSAT061168.2". Lineage: Eukaryota; Metazoa; Chordata; Mammalia; Primates; Hominidae. The record is from RNAcentral.
CCUCACCGUGGUUCUCCAUCUGCUCCAGGACAGCAAUCCCACACUCCUGCUGCCGAGGGUAGUGGACGAAGAUGCGCUGGAUGAUGUUGCGAGGCCGGAAGACCUCCUUGGGGAAGAUGUUGAGCAGCUGGUUGUACACAGCCAGGUCCCGCUCGACACCAUACUCCCGCAUCUUGCGCAGGGCCAGCUAAAGAAGAUGAAGAAGUCUUCGGGGAG